This 368-nucleotide ribosomal RNA is filed under the name uncultured organism. Its description in RNAcentral is "bacterial SSU rRNA". It matches the Rfam family "Bacterial small subunit ribosomal RNA", at positions 526 to 896 of the family's 1533-position model. The record is from RNAcentral.
CGGAGGAUCCAAGCGUUAUCCGGAUUUAUUGGGUUUAAAGGGUGCGUAGGCGGCCUGUUAAGUCAGGGGUGAAAGACGGUAGCUCAACUAUCGCAGUGCCCUUGAUACUGAUGGGCUUGAAUGGACUAGAGGUAGGCGGAAUGAGACAAGUAGCGGUGAAAUGCAUAGAUAUGUCUCAGAACACCGAUUGCGAAGGCAGCUUACUAUGGUCUUAUUGACGCUGAGGCACGAAAGCGUGGGGAUCAAACAGGAUUAGAUACCCUGGUAGUCCACGCCCUAAACGAUGAACACUCGCUGUUGGCGAUACACAGUCAGCGGCUAAGCGAAAGCGUUAAGUGUUCCACCUGGGGUGUACGCCGGCAACGGUG